UGUUUCUUUUUUUAAAAAAAUAACUUUUCAAAAUUGCUGCCAAUACUAUUUAUUUUACGAGGUUUUUCAUAUUGUUGGCUUCGUGAUAUGAACACAGCAUUACUUCCAAGAAUAAUGUACUUUAUAUGUUCUAGGCUCAGGGAAUUAUGCUGAAGACUGAUACACAUCACAGAGAAGAGUAGAUAUACUGCUUUGAUUGAGGCCAUUGGGCAAAUUAAUUGAAUAAAUUUAUCAAAGAUGUAUCAGGAUCUUGAUUAUAGCGUAUCCUGCUCACCCAAUUGUGUGCUCACUGAAACCCAUUUUAAACUUGUCUGUGGCUUCUCAGCAUAGUUAGAUAAGCAACUUCAACUUAUCUGUGGACUGCUGAAGACAUUGCUGUAGGAAAGAUGUGUGCAAGAAAUACAAUGGCUUUGCUGCCAUUAAAAACUUUAUGACAAGAUGCUGAACAAGAAGUAAUUUAUAACUAAGGAUGAGGAUGAGGAUGAAGAUGAGGAAGAGGACACGAACCAGAGCUGACGCCAGCCUUAACAACUCCUUUUUCAUCCUGUUCCCCUGUGUCUUGUGGAUUCUGUUUCUGUUUGUUUCUUCAAAUAAAAUGUGCCUUCCACAGUGUUUUGUGUUUGUUUUCCGCUUCUCCAUUAUGGAUUGUGUGGCGAG
Molecule: long non-coding RNA, 657 nt
Filed under: Heterocephalus glaber (naked mole-rat)
Lineage: Eukaryota; Metazoa; Chordata; Mammalia; Rodentia; Bathyergidae
Description: lncRNA (ENSHGLG00100042609.1)
Source: RNAcentral